GGGAGGCACCCUACGUGGAGAUGGCGUUCACCGAGCACAAGCAGUGCGAGUGCAGGCCCCGGCAGGACCUGAUGAGGUUGGGAAGGAGGAGGUCCAAGGGCCGAGGUAAGAGAAGACAAGACAAGAAGGGACGGAAAGACUGUGAACUGUAAGUGAGGAGGGGCAGGUAUGGGUGGUGUCUUCUGGGUUAAUUUUCUUGGGAUGAGUGUCUUAAUUAAGCAUUUAGAUCUUUACUGACACUGUGAACUGUGAAAGGUUUGUGCACAGCAGACACAGAAGAAAGCAGGAGGGAACAGUGGCUGUGGGGAAACAGGCCUUUUACUGAAGACUCAAUAGGUGCUUGGUAGUCUCCAGGAUCAGCAGCUCAAAGUUGGGCAGAAUGGGG
Molecule: long non-coding RNA, 385 nt
Filed under: Zosterops lateralis melanops
Lineage: Eukaryota; Metazoa; Chordata; Aves; Passeriformes; Zosteropidae
Description: lncRNA (ENSZLMG00000011595.1)
Source: RNAcentral